RNAcentral lists this ribosomal RNA (796 nucleotides) under Cocconeis euglypta. Its description in RNAcentral is "partial large subunit ribosomal RNA". It matches the Rfam family "Eukaryotic large subunit ribosomal RNA", at positions 44 to 911 of the family's 3401-position model. Lineage: Eukaryota; Bacillariophyta; Bacillariophyceae; Cocconeidales; Cocconeidaceae. The record is from RNAcentral.
AAUUAAGCGGAGGAAAAGAAACCAACCAGGAUUCCCCCAGUAAGGGCGACUGAAGCGGGAUGAGCUCACAGUGUGAAUCGGCGCCAAAUAUUGGGCGUUGAAUUGUGGUCUGUGGACGUGGGCGUUCGUUGCGCCGGGCCAAGUUCCUUGGAAAAGGACAGCCGAGAGGGUGAUACUCCCGUUUGCCUGGCCAUCGAGCCCGCGUCGAAGAGUCGAGUUGUUUGGGAUUGCAGCUCUAAGUGGGUGGUAAAUUCCAUCUAAGGCUAAAUAUUGGUGGGAGACCGAUAGCGCACAAGUACCGUGAGGGAAAGAUGCAAAGGACUUUGAAAAGAGAGUUAAAGAGUACCUGAAAUUGCUGAAACGGAAGCGAAGGAAACCAGUGUCAAGCGAAGUCAUACUUCCCCCUCCGCUUGCGGUGCGGGGCGCUGUGGCCAGCGUCUGCCAGGCUUGGUUGGAUCGACCGGAUGCCACAUUGUGGUGCGGUUGGCUCGACCGAGUCCUUGGCGAAAUGGUUUUCUUUCCCCCGUCUUGAAACACGGACCAAGGAGUUUAACAUAUGUGCGAGUACAGGGGAUGGUAAUCCCCCGUGCGCAAUGAAAGUGACAGUGGCUGGAUUCCUGCAGUUGUUGUGGGUUGCACAGUCCGCCGGCCCCAAUCCCCCGGGAGACUGGUCUGAGUGUGAGCACACAUGUUGAGACCCGAAAAGAUGGUGAACUAUGCCUGAGUAGGGUGAAGCCAGGGGAAACUCUGGUGGAGGCUCGUAGCGAUUCUGACGUGCAAAUCCGAUCGUCAAAUU